UAGCCAUGUUUCCCAAAGGUGGACACACCUGGAAACAUUGUUUCCUAGCCAUGUUUCCCAAAGGUGGACACACCUGGAAACAUUGUUUCCUAGCCAUGUUUCCCAAAGGUGGACAAACCAGGAAACAUUGUUUCCUAGCCAUGUUUCCCAAAUGUGGACAAACCAGGAAACAUUGUUUCCUAGCCAUGUUUCCCAAAGGUGGACAAACCAGGAAACAUUGUUUCCUAGCCAUGUUUCCCAAAGGUGGACAAACC
Paramuricea clavata is the source of this 254-nucleotide non-coding RNA. Lineage: Eukaryota; Metazoa; Cnidaria; Anthozoa; Malacalcyonacea; Plexauridae. The record is from the annotation of a GenBank genome assembly.